Megalobrama amblycephala (Wuchang bream) is the source of this 2058-nucleotide long non-coding RNA. RefSeq lists it as uncharacterized. The record is from RefSeq and is a predicted model, not a curated record. Lineage: Eukaryota; Metazoa; Chordata; Actinopteri; Cypriniformes; Xenocyprididae. The transcript is spliced from 3 exons.
AUUGAACUUUGAGCAUUAAAAUUUUACAGAUUUUAUUUAUACUCUAACAACAACAUUACACACUAACUAAACUUUGAAACAUGGGAUCACGAAGAAUGGGACCUUUAAAAGGAUUUUGCUGGUGCAAAAUGUAGAGCAAGACCGGGCCUACUCUGCCGAACGUAUAUAUUUAGGAGUACGUGGAAGACCUUCCAUUAAUGUUUCAAUGAAACAGGGACACACCAUUAAGCAGAUGGCCAAGAUUCUGGGCUGCUCAUCUUCAUUUCUUUAUAGGAAAACUAAACUGCUUGGAAUUCCUAUACGAAAACUGCAAACACAAGUGACUGAGGAAGAGCUCAUUCAGCAUGUCAGAAGACUUCACAGUCUCUAUCCCAACACAGGAAGUGAGAUCAUGAGGGGACUGCUACGUGGAGAAGGGCUGUUUGUCCAGCGGUGCAGGGUCCGAGAAGCCCUCACCCAAAUUGAUCCAACUGCGACUGCACACAGGUGGAGUAGUUCUAUUGCGCGAAGAGUCUACCAUGUUCCUCAUCCAAACAGUUUAUGGCACAUAGAUGGAAAUAUGCGGCUGAUAAGGUAAUAUGUUAUUCACCCAACCCUACACCCUGAAUUGUGGGGUCAUUCCACUCCUUGUAAUACCUAUGUCAUACCCAUGUCAUUAUACACAUUUGUGUCCUGAUAUGUCACAAAAACAAGCACCCCCACACGCACACACAAACACACACUACACAAAGACACACAGGUUAGGGGUACUGGACAUACGAAAUUGCCCAUAAUAGUGAGAGCGUGUGAGAGUGUCUUGUUUGCGGCAGGUAUUAAAAUGUGUUUUUGUCAAUUUUGUUACAGGUGGAUGAUAAAAAAUAAAGGUGUAAAUGGGGUCUAAAAAGUUUUGAGCUUGUCCACUUUCGACCACUUACAGAGCUAGUGAAAAAUGUAUUCGGCUGAAUUGCUUCCAUAGUAAAUUCUCAUGUGAUCAAAUGUGUUCGAACAGCCACAAAAGAGUGCCUACUCUCCUCCUACUGACCUAAUGCAUAAACAUGGGAAUAUGUGCGCUAAUCCUAGCCAAAAGAGAUUUAAACUUUGUCAUCUGAAGACCCAAGAGGAAGAGGAAAAAAGCACAAUGUUCUCUCACCAUUCCUGAUUUCUAACACACACUCACAGCGUUCGGUGUGAUCUUGCGAAUGUCAGAGCAGAAAUGAAAGCUGAUGCUCUCUGUAUGUUUUUCCAUUGUCUCCUUUAUGAAAGAUCUGAAAAAAACAUACAUUUACCUGCCCUUAGACCCUUCCCUCGAAGAAAUCAGGACAGAAAUGGUCAGAAGUGGACAAAAGAGGCAGACAAAACACCAGGUGUAAAUGGGUAUAUGUCUCACAUAUCUAAUACUUGUGAUCCAAUCAACCAAAACACAUCUUAACACCAGGUGUAAACAGGGCACUAGUGCUGGGGUUGCAUCAGGAAAUACUUCUGCCAUUAAACCUCAAAUAAGCCUUAUUCAGACUGUCAGUCCAAGCCCAAUUUUUCUGCAUAUCUAAUUUGAAUCCUUCAAUGUUUAGCAAGUGUGAACGGCAAAAAAAUGCCAUGAAAUGUCAUUUUUUUGAAACCACGUUAGAGCUAUGCUAAUAUGUGGUUUGAAAUCCUAUUCAAAUUGCAUUUCUGGAAAUCAGUUUCAGUCUGACCUCUCUAAUUAGAUUUUGCGUGGUUUAGAUUAUUUCUCAUGCUACAUAAAAUGUGAAUGUGAUGAAGUUCAGAGUGAAGAAGGAAGAGAAAGGGUCAGCUUACCGAGGCUUGUGCAUUUUAUUAUGUCUACAAAUUAUAUACAAAUAAUAAUAUUCAAAUCUAACUAAACUUAUGAUUACAGUUUUUCUCCAUCGAUUUGGUACAUUUCUCCAAACUCAGGUAACAGCUCUCAAAACAGUUAACACAGCAAACUAAACACACUCUUAUGCUGGCGAAACCGUUAAGUAUUCACUGCACAAUGAAACACAGCAUUUUAUUCUAGUAAUGCAUUUAUUAAAAUUCAAUAUUAACAUCAAAACUAAAAGUGUGUUCUCUGUUGAUUUUAUA